RNAcentral lists this long non-coding RNA (1365 nucleotides) under Homo sapiens (human). RNAcentral describes it as "HSALNT0394420". Lineage: Eukaryota; Metazoa; Chordata; Mammalia; Primates; Hominidae. The record is from RNAcentral.
GGCAACCCUUAGGAGGAAAGAGAUGAAUCACAAGGGAUUGUGGAAUCAUUAGAAAUUGAGGAUUAGAACAUCCGACAUUAAAAUGUCUCAGUGCAGCAGAAUUUCCCAGCGACUUCGGUGGCGGGAGAGCAGCACCUCUCAGGCACAGCUGUGCGCAUCCCUCGGGCCCCACCGACCGCACCAUCUGACCGCGGGAAACGAAAUCUGAGCUCAGGAAUUUGAACUGCCCCACGCACGUUCGUUCCCGGAUAAAUCUCCUAGAGGACCGUGAUUUUUCCACUUAGAGAUUAUUUAGGGAGAUGUCCUGGAUGGGACAAGUAGACAAAUGGCGGCCCGAGGAAAAUGCAGGAAACUCUACAUUGUAGACGCUUAAGCACCAACUGUCUGGGCCCCGGGGCAGGGAACGGGAGACAUUAUCCACCGGAAACAUCACACCCCCGGGGCUCCUGGCAUUUUCUACAUCAGUGAAUGUGCCAGCGAAGAAGAGUGUGGGGAAAUUUUCUGAACAUAGAAUUCAUAUUCCUGAAACGUUAAGUCGUGAAGUGGGUGCUUCAGCUGUCCCCCAGCUUUAGGAUUUUAACCCAGCUUUGGUUUUGAUCACCGAGAGUUAUUCCUUAUAAUCAAAUCAGCAAAAGCGUUCAAUUACCUAUUACUGGUUGAGAAAGAUUCCGUUCCCCCAGCUCAUUGUAUCGGUUCUUGGACCCAAGAUGUUAAUUAUCGGCCAGGCAUUCACAGGGGGUUAAUAUGGCCCCCCUCGACACCUUGCCUCGUACCAGAGACACCAAAAGCUGCCGCUGAGGGAUAAUAGAGAAUGGGAAAAGCUGGUCAUGAAAAACCUCUUUUAUUCUUACUUGCAAGCUACCCUUUUGACAUUCUUUUUUUAACACUAAAUGGAGAUUACUGAAUUGAUAACUUUUGGGUUUUCUCUGUCACACUGGGGUUUUUUUCCCCCCGUUUGUUUGUAAGGUUUUUUUGGUUUUGGUUUUGGUUUUGGGGGGAGGGGAAGGGGGAAGUGGAUAGGGAGAUGGAAGAGUGUUCUGUUACUGGUUUUAUCAAAUCCUGUUAGGUCUUGUUCUUCAGUGUAAUGUAGAAUGGAGAAGUUGCAUAAGUACAUGAUUGACAAACAAGGUCUCUUAGAAGAGAGUUAAGGAGUAGGAAAUAUAAUGUGUCCUGGAGAAAAAGAAAGAGAAAACCCUUAGUAUGACACACUGGCCUUUAAAUAGAGGACACAUGAAUAUGCAAAGGAGAGGCACGUGUGAAAUAAGGUGUGCCUUGCUGAGCCCUCCCGCCCCCACCCCCCAUGUAUCAAGAACUUUACUUACAUUAUCUCAUCUAAUUCUACCCACAACCCAAGAGGAAGGGCGA